Long non-coding RNA from Delphinapterus leucas (beluga whale), 810 nucleotides. RefSeq lists it as uncharacterized. NCBI's taxonomy places the organism in Eukaryota, Metazoa, Chordata, Mammalia, Artiodactyla, Monodontidae. The record is from RefSeq and is a predicted model, not a curated record.
CGGAAGCCGAAAGGAUUGGGCCAAGCUUUUCUGGAGCUAAGGGAAGACUGCGGAUUUGAGGCCCUGGAGAUAUAACGAUAAACAGAACAAAACAAAACAAAAAAACCCUGGUUCUUGCCUGGCACACAGUUCAAUGGAGGAGUAGACAUAAGAAGAAACAAAUAUGGCACAGUGUAUUUUUUCUGGACUUCAACCUGAAACUGCUAUCAGAUAUCUUGACACUUCGAAUAAAGUCUACACGUAAGAGAACAGAGCUGAGAGAUGGAAAGAUGCUGAAUCCCAAUGAUGUCCUUUGAAAUGCUGGGUGAAGCUGGGCCUGAAGAUAGAGCUACCUCUAUAGUUUUCAGAUACUUAAGUCAAUAAAUACUCUUGUUUGCUUAGAUAACCUUGAGUUAGAUUUUAUAUUACCUCCAAAAGAGUACUAUAUUGGAUAUUUUCCAUUUGCCCUCCAAAUUCACUCUCUACUCUUCUCUACCCUCUCUGUGCCCCAGGGGACUAACCUAUCUGAAUUGCAUCAAAGAGUUCUGUUGCCCUCUGGUUUCUGGUUGUGUUCAGCCAAUGGAAGUCUCUCUGGAGACUGAAGUCAGGGCAAUUAUUCCCCAUUUAUUCCUAGGGGCUCUCACUGGUAGAUACGAAUGGGUUGGCUGGUCCUUCUUGCAGAGGCUGUAGAUCCUGUCAAGUGUCCUUCUCUCUCCAGGUUUGAGUAGCUUUUUUCUCCCUUCACACCAUCUGAUGUAGGGGAGGGAGUAGUACCUCCCUACAAUUGCUAGUCCUGGAUUAAAGCAUUAUGCUUAAUUGAUUUCCUGUAAC